GACAAGCGGAAGACCACCGGGAUGCGGGCCAGGGUUGGGUUGGUCUCCUGCAGACCCUGGAUCCACUUGGCCAGCGUGGCCUGGUCGUGAGCACCCGCCAUGCAUAUGGCGAAGACAGGGCCUUCCUCCACUGUCAGGAGAGACAGGCCCUCAGUUUGUGCAGUAGGGACUGGGGCAGCCCCCUCAAGCCCACACCCCUUCCAGGCCAAGGAUGGGGGCUUUAAGCUCCCUUUUUCCUUUUGUGUGUUUCCAAGCCUUUGCACAUGCUCUGCCUAGCCUGCCUGUCCCAUGCUUCACCUAGGUGACACCUCCUGGCUCAAGUUUCCACCAGGAAAUCCUCCUGACUCCCACCUGAGGCUGAGUUGUGUGCUCCUCCGCUGGAACCCCAAGAAUGUAACUUGUCUGAUCCACCGCUGGCCUGAGGGAAGGGACUGGGCCUGUCCUGGUCAUGCCCAGUAGCCAGCACAGAGGUGCUCCAUAAACGUCUGAAGGAGGAUGUUUGAGGGCUGACAGGUCUGGAGCCCCUGAGUGGACCUUACCUAUGAUGUGGGGCUCCGUGGGAUCCGUGGCAUCUGUGGAGUCUUUGGACAAAGGCAUCUGCAAGGAAAGUCGGAGUGGAAGCUUGCAGCCCCCACAGCCCCUACGGAGGAGCCCGGGAGAGAGAAAUGGGGAUUCCAGUGAAUUCAGGACCCCUCUUGGGUCUGUCUACUGGGCCUCCAACAAUCACUCGAGCCCACCGCCUUCUUGCUUCUAUCUAAUUGGGUGGCUUACUACACCACUGUGCAUGCCUCACCCUUUCACUUUUUUCACCAGUCUUUGAUUGAGGUGCCACAGUGGACAUGGACAAGUCCCUCUUGAUAGAUACUUGGAUUGUUCCCAUUCUAAAUCUAGGUGGUGUCAAACAACAAGGUCCUACUGUAUAGCACAGGGAACUAUAUUCAAGAUCUUGUAAUAAAGUAUAAUGGAAAAGAAUCUGAAAAAAUA
This is a long non-coding RNA of Delphinapterus leucas (beluga whale), 984 nucleotides long. RefSeq lists it as uncharacterized. NCBI's taxonomy places the organism in Eukaryota, Metazoa, Chordata, Mammalia, Artiodactyla, Monodontidae. The record is from RefSeq and is a predicted model, not a curated record.